GGACUGAUCUGGCUGCAAAUGUCACCCAUGAUCUGCCAGAAUUGCAGCUAAUCUGCCUGGCUCUUUCUCCCUCAGUGCUUCUCAGUCUUACUGCUGUAACAUCACUCUUCGUUGAAGAGGAUGACCUUCUCCAGUAGUGGAAGGCCAUUUUCUAGUUUAGAAUCUCUCUUCUGCUAGGACUUCCAAACUAGUUCUUAAAGAGCCAGCUAGGGUCUGGCAAAGUCAAGAGAACUGGUCAGACACACAUACAGACAAAGCUCUGACGCCUUGUCCU
RNAcentral lists this small nuclear RNA (274 nucleotides) under Meriones unguiculatus (Mongolian gerbil). RNAcentral's name for it is "7SK RNA (ENSMUGG00000022770.1)". It matches the Rfam family "7SK RNA". Rfam says of the family: 7SK was discovered as an abundant small nuclear RNA in the mid-70s but a possible function has only recently been suggested. Lineage: Eukaryota; Metazoa; Chordata; Mammalia; Rodentia; Muridae. The record is from RNAcentral.